Molecule: ribosomal RNA, 255 nt
Filed under: uncultured bacterium
Lineage: Bacteria
Description: partial 16S ribosomal RNA
Rfam family: Bacterial small subunit ribosomal RNA
Source: RNAcentral
UACGUAGGGUGCAAGCGUUGUCCGGAAUUAUUGGGCGUAAAGAGCUCGUAGGCGGUUCGUCGCGUCGGCUGUGAAAACCUGAGGCUCAACCUCAGGCCUGCAGUCGAUACGGGCGGACUUGAGUACUGCAGGGGAGACUGGAAUUCCUGGUGUAGCGGUGAAAUGCGCAGAUAUCAGGAGGAACACCGGUGGCGAAGGCGGGUCUCUGGGCCGAGUAACUGACGCUGAGGAGCGAAAGCGUGGGGAGCGAACAGG